Molecule: long non-coding RNA, 255 nt
Organism: Lolium rigidum
Lineage: Eukaryota; Viridiplantae; Streptophyta; Magnoliopsida; Poales; Poaceae
Exons: 3
Source: RefSeq, a predicted model, not a curated record
ACCCCCGACGCCAUCUCUCGCAUCCUGGUUCGUCCCGUCUCCGUCGUCCCCGAGCUCGUCUGCAAGUGUCCGCCAUGGCCCCUAUCUCCGCUCGUUUCUGCUUCAACAUGUCACGAAGCCCGUGUUCAUCAACAACAGCAACUGUAGCCCAGUGAUCUCGAGUUCAGAGAUGUUUCAGCUUAUGCGUGAGAUCAUCCAAGUCAACAACAUCAGCUAGCUCUUCUGACGGGCCUCGGCCCAGAUCCUCCGUCCCUG